GGGGAGAGGGGGAUAGGUAGCUACUGCUGUAGCUUCCUUUUCGUAAGGUGGGCUCUUUCCUUUGGUUCAGUUACGCUUGUUCUCUUCCUUGUUGUGUGUUUUUGCAACGACCAAUAAGGGGUGGGAAGAGGCGGGUGGUUAGUAGGAGGAGGUGGUGUUGAGGCCUAACGGCACCGGUAGGUCCUGGUCCUGCGCUGAGGAGAGCAGACGCCCAAACAAGAACGCCUGGUACCUGCUGCGCCUGUAUCUAAAGUGGUUAGGUCUCUGCAUGGGCGCGGGCCGGUACCUGUCGAUGAAGCUGCUGCAGGACUUUCUGUGCGUCGUGCGGACGACGUUGGGCGUACAGCUCCUGGAACGGGUGGUGCGCGUGUGGACGCAGGUACAGGUGUGAUUCUAGGUGGGCCGUCUCAGGCUGCUACAGCGCCUCUGUAGGCUCAGCGGCGUUGUCUUAUCGCCCCGGUUCUUCGCGGGAAGACCAUUAGCUCGUCGACACUCCUCCAUGGCACUGUUCUCCUUCCGGGCGUGUCGCAACGACCUCCUUCUCCACCGAGCGGAGUUCCGGAAUUUGUCCGUCGAGCACUCCUUCUAAGUCUCAGUGAGCCGCGAAGUCCGACUCCGGAGGUCCGAGGCGAUGGACGAACAGCUGUAAUCUCCCUCCUAGCUUCCUCUCGAGCCUCAAAAGGGAACGGUCGCCGGAUACUCUUUGUUGCUAAGCCGACUGGUCCCUUCAAAGGAACCACCACCACGGGUCGUCCAGUCCGAGUCUACGUUGCUCGGCGAGAUGGCGUCAAUACGUCCGGUGCUGUUACCUACUGCUACCACAAUACUCACCGCUCGACAACCCAGUUCGACGGCCACUGUAACGUUUAUUGGUCACCGAGGGUCCAAACGGGCUACUACAUUUCUCCACUUCCGUCCAAUCAAUAUGAAUAGAACACACAAGUCAUCUGUUUUUUAAAGAACAUGUUUACCGUUUCGCGGACGGAACAGGAUUUUUUAUUUCUCGAGAAAAAAAGAACUAUACUCUUCUCGAAAAGAAUAUCGUUGUAGUUAAACCCCGUUGACGAUCAAUGAAAACGGAAAGUUAUUCGACGAGUAUCGUAAUGACUUGGAAAAGGUCUUUGACUAGUAGUCACACCAUCAUAAUUAAGUCAAACAGUGAUCUGUGGUGACUUUUUAUUUCGCGUGCUAUCGCGGCGAUUAUCGUAAUGAUAUUGUACAUCUAUUAACACAGCUAUUUUUUUGGUCAAAUGUUACAUAGUGAUUAUCGUGUGAUAUCACGCGAUAUGGAACGAUUAUCGCAUUAAAUUCCCCGCCACGAUAAAACAUAUUAAGCGAUAAGAAAAGGAAUUAUCCGUGAGAUAAGUAAGUAAAGGACGGGUACUUGAAGUAUUACGUGGUCGGAACGGUAUAAAAAAUAACAUGAAAUCCAACAAAAUAUUACCCGGCAAUACUUGCCGAAAGUAAUCAUACGCCUAGACUAAGAGUUCAACCCUUAUCAUACGGUAACCAUUAUUGAUUACUGCCGUAUAUCACCUGUUCACAGAGGAACUAAGAAAGAACAUGUCUACUGGAAACAGGUAGAGAUCAGAAGUUCGGCUUUUUUUAUUCUAUUGUAGAGUCCAUAUCCUUCUACUAAACAUCGUGGACCCACGAGGUGGGGGAUUUACUUGUAAUUUAAGUUUUUGUUAUGACUCUUUAAACUUUAUUUUGACUUUAAAUCCCUAUAGUUUGAACCCACAGACUAGAUAAAGGCACACUUUAAUGUACUUUUUUAUAGUCCUUUGCAUAGGCACCGCUUUUCCUAUUUUUUAAGGAUACAUAUCUUUUUUGACAAACCUGCCUAAAAUCAAGCCUGUCAUAAAGAAGUGGUAUCUAUGCAAAAGACCAUAAAGUGCUUUGAAGUGUGUCUUCAUCUAACCUUUAGGUCCAAACUAUAGGAGUUUAAAGUCAUAAAAACCCAUAAAAAAUGUCAAUUAUUAGCAUAUCCCUACACUUCGUGGGUACUCGAGGACACAUAAAAGGGAGCCCAUAUUACGAUCAUAUUACGUUAUAUACGGCACGUCUAUCAGUAUUCGAUAUAGGUCAUGAACGCUCAACGUUACAUGAGGGAGACAUUUGUUUACUUUUUGUAAAAUCCAGUGAGUUCAUCACUGGAUUUUGUAGAAUAUAAACAAAUGCCUCCCUCAUGGAUAUUGAUCAAAACAAGUAGAUCGAUUCAAUGCUGCGUGUUUGGUAAAGAAUACUUCUCUAAUAAAACUAGUAAUAGUAAAGACAUAGAUUUUACACACACGCUUAUUAACGAAGUCCUGAGCUCGUUAUGAGUACGAUGAAAAGGAGAUUUUUAAUGAGUACGAUGACGAAAGUAAAAAGUAGUAUAAAAGACAGAGAUGUUCACAAACACGCCUACGUAACAAGCCCUGAGCUCAUUGUGUGAACCACGACUAAAAGAGAAAGUUCUGUACGGCUUGUCGAAUAGAAGAGAAACGACCCCUGAUAACCAAAGACACAUGUUCCUUCUGAUGCAAACAACGAAUAUAGCCGGCCCAACACAAACCAAGUUUGACGCCAUAACGGCUACUACGGACUCCGCGACGUUCAACCUAUCGAGACUGCGAUGGUCCUCACCCGUACAGGCAAGUGCAACGUAACAAGACAAAAGCCAAUACGAGUACCUCAAAACUGUCGGAACGAAGACCAGGAUCUACGGAGGAACGUUACACAUCUAUGUAUGGCGUAAGGUUCAAUAACACUUAUUAUCUCUAAAGACGUAGGUACCCAACACGAUCAAAUGUAAAAAAAAUGAGGAGAUAAAAACUCUACAAUGACUUAUCGAUUUUUAGUGUCACAGACUGGGGAGAUACAAACACUUAUUAUUUCUAGUGUUAUGUCUUUAUCUUCUCGAAUAAAAAAU
RNAcentral lists this ribosomal RNA (2914 nucleotides) under Triticum aestivum (bread wheat). RNAcentral's name for it is "partial small subunit ribosomal RNA". The record is from RNAcentral. Lineage: Eukaryota; Viridiplantae; Streptophyta; Magnoliopsida; Poales; Poaceae.